CUGAAAGACUGGGAAGCCACUCGGGCGAUGGAGGUCACACCUUUGCAGGCUCCUCCUCCUCCUCCUGCGGCCCGCGACCAGCGCCACGGUGGUGUCACGUGUUCGCACCUUCACCCUGACGUCAUCACGCCAAGCCAGCCUUCAUCUGCUCAUCAACACCCGUGCUCACCUGCGUUCCAGCGAUCAACAGAAGGACGAAGGACUUCACCCGAUGCGUUUGGCGGCCCGGAGACGUAGGAAGUCAAGGUUGCAUGUUUGCGGUGGUCGUGUCCCCAAGAUGCAGGAAGGAACGGCAGAGCAGCGUGCAAGAGACCACGGGAAAGACCCUGGACACGGUGGACAGACUAUGUCUCCCAGCUGAACUGGGAACACCUUGGGAAGAGCUGGAAGAAGUAGCUGGGGAGAGGGAAGUCUGGGCUUCUCUGCUUGGGCUGCUGCCCCCGCGACCCGACUUCGGAAAAGAUGGAUGGUACCUUGGCGUGAUGACGUCAGGGUGAAGGUGCGAACACGUGACACCACCGUGGCGCCAAGCGACAUCAUCACGCUGGUGGCGGGCCGCAGGAGGAGGAGGAGCCUGGAAAGGUGUGACCUCCAUCGCCCGAGUGGCUUCCGAGUCAUUCAGAGGACCUGGAAGAAGACGACAGCUUCAUUUUGCUUUUGUAAAAGAGUCUAUUAUCUUUUAAAGUUGCGCCGACGUCAUGAAUUUGUUGUUUUUCGUCCUUCUGGCCGUGCAAAUGCAGAGCGUUUCUCCCGGUGAGUUGUUUUUAUUUACAACUUCUUUGUAACAUCUUAAGUGGACUGAAGUUGUUC
Long non-coding RNA from Entelurus aequoreus (snake pipefish), 810 nucleotides. RefSeq lists it as uncharacterized. NCBI's taxonomy places the organism in Eukaryota, Metazoa, Chordata, Actinopteri, Syngnathiformes, Syngnathidae. The transcript has 5 exons. The record is from RefSeq and is a predicted model, not a curated record.